This 508-nucleotide ribosomal RNA is filed under the name uncultured bacterium. RNAcentral describes it as "bacterial SSU rRNA". It matches the Rfam family "Bacterial small subunit ribosomal RNA", at positions 29 to 529 of the family's 1533-position model. The record is from RNAcentral.
AUUGAACGCUGGCGGAAUGCUUUACACAUGCAAGUCGAGCGGCAGCGCGGGGGCAACCCUGGCGGCGAGCGGCGAACGGGUGAGUAAUAUAUCGGAACGUACCCCGUCGUGGGGGAUAACACAGCGAAAGCUGUGCUAAUACCGCAUACGACCUGAGGGUGAAAGCGGGGGAUCGCAAGACCUCGCGCGAUGGGAGCGGCCGAUAUCGGAUUAGCUUGUUGGUGAGGUAAAGGCUCACCAAGGCGACGAUCCGUAGCUGGUCUGAGAGGACGACCAGCCACACUGGAACUGAGACACGGUCCAGACUCCUACGGGAGGCAGCAGUGGGGAAUUUUGGGACAAUGGGGGCAACCCUGAUCCAGCCAUGCCGCGUGCAGGAUGAAGGCCUUCGGGUUGUAAACUGCUUUUGUACGGAACGAAAGGUCUUUUCUAAUAAAGAAGGACCCAUGACGGUACCGUAAGAAUAAGCACCGGCUAACUACGUGCCAGCAGCCGCGGUAAGCACGAG